AGAGACAGCAGUCGCCACGGUAAUACGUAGGGUGCAAGCGUUAAUCGGAAUUACUGGGCGUAAAGCGUGCGCAGGCGGUUCGCUAAGACAGAUGUGAAAUCCCCGGGCUUAACCUGGGAACUGCAUUUGUGACUGGCGGGCUAGAGUAUGGCAGAGGGGGGUAGAAUUCCACGUGUAGCAGUGAAAUGCGUAGAGAUGUGGAGGAACACCGAUGGCGAAGGCAGCCCCCUGGGCCAAUACUGACGCUCAUGCACGAGAGCGUGGGGAGCAAACAGGAUUAGAUACCCGCGUAGUCCCUGUCUCUUAUAA
RNAcentral lists this ribosomal RNA (309 nucleotides) under uncultured bacterium. RNAcentral's name for it is "partial 16S ribosomal RNA". It matches the Rfam family "Bacterial small subunit ribosomal RNA", at positions 504 to 809 of the family's 1533-position model. The record is from RNAcentral.